Lycium ferocissimum is the source of this 745-nucleotide long non-coding RNA. RefSeq lists it as uncharacterized. The transcript is spliced from 2 exons. NCBI's taxonomy places the organism in Eukaryota, Viridiplantae, Streptophyta, Magnoliopsida, Solanales, Solanaceae. The record is from RefSeq and is a predicted model, not a curated record.
UUCUGCUAACUUCCUGAUCACAUAUUAGUAGAAAAUCUGAUAUUAUAUUCUGCAAAAUUGUCAUCACGUUUCUACACAACAAGCAAUUAAUGUAAGCCAGUCGAUAAUUAAGUAUUAGGAAAAAGGAGCACAAAGAAAAUUUUGAACUCAAAAGGAUCACAUUCUGCGGUCGAGAAGUUUGAGUAAUCAAUUUAUUUAAUUAGAGAAUUAGAUAUAACAAUAUUUUGUUCUCUCUGACAUUAGGCCAGUUAUAAUUAAGAAAGAAGACUUUUCUUUCAGCUACCUACAAGUUAGAUUUUUAUAAUAUGGUCUUGCAUUUGUAAAUUACAAGCUAUUAGUCUCAUUUACACACGCUACACACUAAGCACGAUAAGUUUAUACGCAAUCUUUUUUGCCGGAUACAAUAUUGCAGUAUUAAUUACGGUUGUAUUAUCGUCACAAAUUGGUACCACAAAAAUAGUUCAAUCAAAAUCACUUAUUGUCUUUUUAAAUCUGCUUUCUUUAAAAGUGUCUAUUUAAUAAGUUUGCUUUCAACUUUUUGUUUUGUUGUUUAUUUUAAGUACCGAUCAGUCAAUGCAAAAAAAAAAAAAAAAAAAAAAAAAAAAAAAAAAAAGUUUUGUAGCGUGUCUCUGUGUCAUUAAUGUUACACCUGACAAUUUUCUAAAAUACAUAGGAGUACAAAAAAUGGAACAGAAAAUGUCUUGAUUUGAAGAAGAAAAAACGGCAUUAUACUAUACAGGAAAAA